UAGGGGGCCACUGUCUGGCAGGGGCACUGAUGCAGGCAGUUGAACUUCUAUCAGUUUCUAAACCAUACCGUCUUUGGUUCCAUUCUCGUGUGGAUAGCUAAGUGAGGUCUGUGCUCUAGCUUGCUUGUUUUUUUUCUUUCACCGCUGUGCACACACACACACACAAUGAUAUUUGGCUAAAAGAUUUCAGUGGUAACGGGGCAUGCUUAGUCAAUGCAAUGAUGCAAAUGAGUGUCAUUCCAGAAGUUCUUAAAAGCUGCAAAACACUCACUAUCAGGGUAGAUGGCUAUGCUAACGAGCUAUCUAGCUGGUAGCUUUAGCGUUCAUCACAGGUUUGUUUAAUGGUGCACUCGAGUUAAUUCUAGUGAUAUGGCACAUAGGAAACAAGGUAAGUCCAUUUCGCUUCUAACGCCAGACGUAACGUUAAGCUAACAUUAGCUAGUUUUACAAGUUUGUACUAGCUAGCUAUCCUGCUAGCAAGGCAGCUACUCACCUCGCUCAUCUCACUGUCUGUCAAACGCAAGUGCCAUCCUGCCCUGUCAAUCCCGCGUGUUUUUGUAAUACAUUCAUAGAUGUAUACAUCAUUGGAUAUAUUGUAUUCCUUUUGUUGUAAGCUUCUGAUUUUAAUCAAGUGUUUAUGCUUACUGUCCGUUUUACUUUAAUCUAUCAGCUGCCGUUGUGAUGAUUUCCCCCCCCCCCAUUUGUCCAUUAACUACAUUUUUAUUUGACAUGUACUUGUACUUGUACUUGUACUUGACAUGGACAGCAAAGUGAAAUAAAAGUUAAAAGAUGCUACACAUAAGACUAUAUAUUUUUUUUAACAAAAGAAGCCGCUCCUGAAGAAAGAAAUGAAUAGGCAAAUAUCUUAGCCAAUCACAACAGUGGCAGUUAAGUAAUGUUGUGAAACACUAUCAUUCCACUAUUAGCGCCUGGUAUAAUAUACAUUUUCAGACAUUACUAUGCAACAAAAAUAUAUGUGUAGCACCUUUAAGAAUGUUAGUUAACUUUGUUUCAGUAUUCCAGUCUAAGGUUCUUCAGAGGCUGUACCUUACCUCCCAGGCCUGCGAAAGAAUCCAGCGCUCCAUCGCCUGAGACCUCUGAAACAAAAAGUAGGCCUAGAGGAGGAGGCCACUAUCACUGGUAAGUAGAGUUUCAUAUUACAAUAUACAAGUUAUUCUCAAGUUAUUCUUCUCUGUCAUUCGCAGGAGAAAGAGACGGAGAUAUUGAGGACGAAGGUCAGGGUGCCUUGUAAGGAUCCGGCGGAGAGAGAGGAAUAACACCAUCCCCAGCCAGGCUGAGUAUACACAGUCCUAGCUCCCCCUGCAGAUUACAAGAGAGGGAUCUGUCACGCCUUCAGCCAGCAUGCAUAAAUACUGUGGACUUGUUGAGAACACUCAUGAGUCCAACAAAGAUGAAGAGGUAGAAGGAGACAAUGGGGGAAGAAGGAGAAAUGGGAACUAUAGCUCCAGGAGGUGGGACAGUGGUGGCCCGGGUGGACAGAGCGGGCCAGGUUACAGAAUCCAACCCUGGGGACCCCCAUGGAGGAAGGAGUCUGGCUCAACAAGAAGAAGAAGAGGAGGAAGCUGAAGAAGAAACAUCAUAAACAGAAGCUCUUGUAUCUAGGUCUGGUGCCCCGUGCUGCAGCUCAAGUUCACCUACGAGAGCGAGGAGGAUGGGAGGGGGGGAGGAAGAGAUGAGGCAGAGAAGAGCAGCUGAAGUGAUAAUCUUCCUCAGGACCACACAAGAUCUACGUGUCUGAUUGUGAGUGUGACAUACCAAGGCUGCUAAUCAACACAGAUACGGUCACAUAUAGCCUAGGCUGUGUUUCAGUCUUCCUAAGAGCUGACCAAAAGUGCUGAAGCAUAGUUCAUUUUAUAGCUUUCGGAUUGGCAGAAAAUAAAUAAUUUGAACAGCACUGUGCAGAGCACACGCAAAUGAAAGUGAAAGCACAGCUCAUUAAUCACUAGCCUAUAACAACUUGAGGACCUUGAGAGAUUUAGGAAUCGAGGUGUAGAGGUGCAUUGAGGUGUUUGGGUUUACUUCAUCAUGCUCAAAUGUAAUGGACAGGCUCAGUCAUCUGGUCUGUCAUAAUCCCUCCAUGACUUGCCUCUGGAGGACUAGACAGACAGUCAGUCCAAAGAAUCCCAUUGGUUCCAGGGAUUAAGGUUUCUCUGUUGGUGAAUUACUGCAGAAGGCUAAGAAGGAAGACCUCUGGAAAUGUCCACAGUAGUUCAGUUAAAGGGGCUACAUGCUCCUGUUCCUUAUAUGCUCCUCAGUCUAGAGAUAGACCAGGGGAUUAAACACAGGCCCGUUCAGCAACGGAGCUUAUAAUGGUUGGUGGAGUAAUAGUAUACUUAAUCCACUACCAAGCAGGUUCAUCUGGUAGUGGAGGGUCUUCUGACCAGCCUGUACAAUGGAACAUUCCUCCCCUGCUGUUUUGGCCCAGCUCCACAGCCUCUAGUCCCUGGUGCAGCAACAGGACACAGCAAGGAUGGCAAAGAAUCUGCAGGAGCUCCAGAACAGCUCUACCAUGUCUACUGCGUCUCCUGCCAUUCAUUCACCUGGAGUUUCACCCAAGAGCUGCCAGGAGACCACACUUUGUACAGGUCUAGGAAUUGUGAACGAGAUGACCUCAGGUGAUGCCACUGCAGUUGUGUCCCUGUUUCAGUACUGGAUCACAGACAAUCCCGCCCAUGCCGAGAGAAUGGAAAACAGGCCAACCUACAACAUAACCUUCCUAGUCGAGCCAACCAACAACACAGCCUUAGACUUUCCUAGAUGUUCAGGGUUUUAAACAACACUGCUGACGGAAAACUUGUCUGACUUAAUUCAUUGUGAGCCCAUGUAACAGAGUUAAGUACAUACCGUAAGCUCACUCCACAGCUAGCUUGAAAUGUCGCGGAUGGAGCCAUCCAAUCGGUACCUUUUGGGUGGCUCAAACCGUUGGAAUGUUGUCAAGGAGGGCGGCCACGUGUGUUUACAAAGCAGAGGUCCCGAGUUUGAGCCGGGUACGAGCCGAAUCAGGGGGAAGUGAUACCAGACACAAUUAAUUAACCGUUUAAUAGAUUUUCCCCACAGAAAAGUGUGGCGAGCGAGCGUAUAAAAACAUUAAGUGGAUAAGGAAUAACAGUACUUUACCACAUUGUCCUAUGCACCUGUGCGGGCUCUAGGUCUAGUGUGAGCUUCAAGAGUUAUAUUAUUCCAUGUGAAAACCUACACUAUUUUUCUGUUACAAUGUUGUUAUAACCAUGAGAAAUGAAACAGACUAAAGUAUAGCUUGUGACAGUUUCGUUAUUCCUGAUAAAAAAAAAACGUCUCUCUGAUACACACAACCGUUCAAAAGUUUAGGGU
Long non-coding RNA from Salmo salar (Atlantic salmon), 3351 nucleotides. RefSeq lists it as uncharacterized. The record is from RefSeq and is a predicted model, not a curated record. NCBI's taxonomy places the organism in Eukaryota, Metazoa, Chordata, Actinopteri, Salmoniformes, Salmonidae.